CAAACGGCCUUCUUAAGGCCAUCAACUCAUACUGUAAGUUCUUU
Colletotrichum chlorophyti is the source of this 44-nucleotide non-coding RNA. The record is from Rfam. NCBI's taxonomy places the organism in Eukaryota, Fungi, Ascomycota, Sordariomycetes, Glomerellales, Glomerellaceae.